UACGUAGGAUCCAAGCGUUGUCCGGAUUUACUGGGUGUAAAGGGUGCGUAGGCGGGUCUUUAAGUCAGGGGUGAAAUCCUGGAGCUCAACUCCAGAACUGCCUUUGAUACUGAAGAUCUUGAGUUCGGGAGAGGUGAGUGGAACUGCGAGUGUAGAGGUGAAAUUCGUAGAUAUUCGCAAGAACACCAGUGGCGAAGGCGGCUCACUGGCCCGAUACUGACGCUGAGGCACGAAAGCGUGGGGAGCAAACAGG
RNAcentral lists this ribosomal RNA (253 nucleotides) under uncultured bacterium. Its description in RNAcentral is "partial 16S ribosomal RNA". It matches the Rfam family "Bacterial small subunit ribosomal RNA", at positions 524 to 776 of the family's 1533-position model. The record is from RNAcentral.